RNAcentral lists this ribosomal RNA (1401 nucleotides) under uncultured bacterium. RNAcentral describes it as "bacterial SSU rRNA". It matches the Rfam family "Bacterial small subunit ribosomal RNA". The record is from RNAcentral.
CCUUAGAGUUUGAUCCUGGCUCAGGAUGAACGCUAGCUACAGGCUUAACACAUGCAAGUCGAGGGGCAGCAUCAUCAAAGCUUGCUUUGAUGGAUGGCGACCGGCGCACGGGUGAGUAACACGUAUCCAACCUGCCGACAACACUGGGAUAGCCUUUCGAAAGAAAGAUUAAUACCGGAUGGCAUAGUUUUCCCGCAUGGGAUAAUUAUUAAAGAAUUUCGGUUGUCGAUGGGGAUGCGUUCCAUUAGGCAGUUGACGGGGUAACGGCCCACCAAACCAACGAUGGAUAGGGGUUCUGAGAGGAAGGUCCCCCACAUUGGAACUGAGACACGGUCCAAACUCCUACGGGAGGCAGCAGUGAGGAAUAUUGGUCAAUGGACGAGAGUCUGAACCAGCCAAGUAGCGUGAAGGAUGACUGCCCUAUGGGUUGUAAACUUCUUUUAUACGGGAAUAAAGUUAGCCACGUGUGGCUUUUUGUAUGUACCGUAUGAAUAAGGAUCGGCUAACUCCGUGCCAGCAGCCGCGGUAAUACGGAGGAUCCGAGCGUUAUCCGGAUUUAUUGGGUUUAAAGGGAGCGUAGGCGGGUGCUUAAGUCAGUUGUGAAAGUUUGCGGCUCAACCGUAAAAUUGCAGUUGAUACUGGGCGCCUUGAGUGCAGCAUAGGUAGGCGGAAUUCGUGGUGUAGCGGUGAAAUGCUUAGAUAUCACGAAGAACUCCGAUUGCGAAGGCAGCUUACUGGACUGUAACUGACGCUGAUGCUCGAAAGUGUGGGUAUCAAACAGGAUUAGAUACCCUGGUAGUCCACACAGUAAACGAUGAAUACUCGCUGUUGGCGAUACACAGUCAGCGGCCAAGCGAAAGCAUUAAGUAUUCCACCUGGGGAGUACGCCGGCAACGGUGAAACUCAAAGGAAUUGACGGGGGCCCGCACAAGCGGAGGAACAUGUGGUUUAAUUCGAUGAUACGCGAGGAACCUUACCCGGGCUUAAAUUGCAGCGGAAUGUAGUGGAAACAUUACAGCCUUCGGGCCGCUGUGAAGGUGCUGCAUGGUUGUCGUCAGCUCGUGCCGUGAGGUGUCGGCUUAAGUGCCAUAACGAGCGCAACCCUUAUCUAUAGUUACUAUCAGGUCAUGCUGAGGACUCUAUGGAGACUGCCGUCGUAAGAUGUGAGGAAGGUGGGGAUGACGUCAAAUCAGCACGGCCCUUACGUCCGGGGCUACACACGUGUUACAAUGGGGGGUACAGAAGGCAGCUACCUGGCGACAGGAUGCUAAUCCCAAAAACCUCUCUCAGUUCGGAUUGGAGUCUGCAACCCGACUCCAUGAAGCUGGAUUCGCUAGUAAUCGCGCAUCAGCCACGGCGCGGUGAAUACGUUCCCGGGCCUUGUACACACCGCCCGUCAAG